Molecule: long non-coding RNA, 475 nt
Filed under: Olea europaea (common olive)
Lineage: Eukaryota; Viridiplantae; Streptophyta; Magnoliopsida; Lamiales; Oleaceae
Description: long non-coding RNA (OEUR_LNC007633)
Source: RNAcentral
AGGAGCUUGGACAACAAUGGUAUAACAUCUACUCUGAACUUUCUUCCUCUUUCAUAGCCAUUGGUAAUCUCAAUGACCAUUUGACUUCUGGCUACCAUUUAUAUAGCAUCAUCUGCUGCAAACGUGCAUUAUUUUUUUCUCACUUUGACAACUUCUCAAUACUUUGUGUCUCUGAAUUUAUCUUGUAUAUAAAGCUAAUAUAUUUUCUCCGUGUUUUGAAAACUAAUGACAGCAUCCCUCGACCAAGUUUACAAGGGCCGGCUAAAAGAGAAUUGGGAUUUGGUAGCUGUCAAAGUACAGAGGCCUUUUUUCCUUGAGACUAGCAGUAGAUUUAUUCAUUAAAAGCCACUUGGGACUUCUCUUUGCAAAUUUCUGUAGGUACUGAUUGUUCAUUUUCUUGUUGUGUAUUAUUUGUGGAAGAGGUGAUUAACAAGGAGUAGUGAAUCCACCUCAAAUCUAAUUUUUAAGAUAUCCG